Molecule: transfer RNA, 68 nt
Filed under: Stylosomus rugithorax
Lineage: Eukaryota; Metazoa; Arthropoda; Insecta; Coleoptera; Chrysomelidae
Description: tRNA-Thr
Source: RNAcentral
ACUUUAAUAAUUUAAUAAAAAUAUUGGUCUUGUAAACCAAAUUUAAGUUUUUUUCAACUUUUAAAGUG